RNAcentral lists this ribosomal RNA (334 nucleotides) under uncultured eukaryote. RNAcentral's name for it is "partial 18S ribosomal RNA". It matches the Rfam family "Eukaryotic small subunit ribosomal RNA", at positions 1470 to 1796 of the family's 1831-position model. The record is from RNAcentral.
CCCUUAGAUGUCCGGGGCCGCACGCGCGCUACACUGAAGGAAUCAGCGUGGCUUUCGCCCUGACCCGAAAGGGUUGGGAAACCCGUUGAAUCUCCUUCGUGAUAGGGAUUGGGGCUUGAAAUUGUUCCCCAUGAACGAGGAAUUCCCAGUAAGCGCGAGUCAUAAGCUCGCGUUGAUUACGUCCCUGCCCUUUGUACACACCGCCCGUCGCUACUACCGAUUGAACGGUUUAGUGAGGGCCUCGGAUUGGUCUCGGCCCGCUCUUUACCGGGCGGCGCCGUUGGUCGAGAAGACGCUCGAACUUGAUCGUUUAGAGGAAGUAAAAGUCGUAACA